This 196-nucleotide ribosomal RNA is filed under the name uncultured bacterium. Its description in RNAcentral is "partial 16S ribosomal RNA". It matches the Rfam family "Bacterial small subunit ribosomal RNA", at positions 329 to 539 of the family's 1533-position model. The record is from RNAcentral.
AGCUCGACACCUAGUGGGGCAGCAGGUGGGGGAUAUUGCACAAUGGGGGAAACCCUGAUGCAGCAACGCCGCGUGAGGGAAGAAGGUUUCGGAUUGUAAACCUCUGUCCUUGGUGACGAUAAUGACGGUAGCCAAGGAGGAAGCUCCGGCUAACUACGUGCCAGCAGCCACGGUAAUCUGAGCGGGCUGGCAAGGC